AGAGUUUGAUCCUGGCUCAGGAUGAACGCUGGCGGUAUGCCUAAUACAUGCAAGUCGAACGCAUUCUCGUUUUAGAUUGACGGUGCUUGCACCAGAUUGAAAAGACAUUUGAAUGAGUGGCGGACGGGUGAGUAACACGUGGGUAACCUGCCCAAAAGUGGGGGAUAACAUUUGGAAACAAAUGCUAAUACCGCAUAAAAGUUAGAACCGCAUGGUUCUAAUUUGAAAGAUGGUUUCGGCUAUCACUUUUGGAUGGACCCGCGGCGUAUUAGUUAGUUGGUGAGGUAAUGGCUCACCAAGACAAUGAUACGUAGCCGAACUGAGAGGUUGAUCGGCCACAAUGGGACUGAGACACGGCCCAUACUCCUACGGGAGGCAGCAGUAGGGAAUCUUCCACAAUGGGCGCAAGCCUGAUGGAGCAAUACCGCGUGAGUGAAGAAGGGUUUCGGCUCGUAAAACUCUGUUGUUGGAGAAGAACGUAUGUGAUAGUAACUGAUCAUGUAGUGACGGUAUCCAACCAGAAAGCCACGGCUAACUACGUGCCAGCAGCCGCGGUAAUACGUAGGUGGCAAGCGUUAUCCGGAUUUAUUGGGCGUAAAGCGAGCGCAGGCGGUUUUUUAAGUCUGAUGUGAAAGCCCUUGGCUCAACCAAGGAAGUGCAUCGGAAACUGGAGAACUUGAGUGCAGAAGAGGACAGUGGAACUCCAUGUGUAGCGGUGAAAUGCGUAGAUAUAUGGAAGAACACCAGUGGCGAAGGCGGCUGUCUGGUCUGUAACUGACGCUGAGGCUCGAAAGCAUGGGUAGCGAACAGGAUUAGAUACCCUGGUAGUCCAUGCCGUAAACGAUGAAUGCUAGGUGUUGGAGGGUUUCCGCCCUUCAGUGCCGCAGCUAACGCAUUAAGCAUUCCGCCUGGGGAGUACGACCGCAAGGUUGAAACUCAAAGGAAUUGACGG
This 952-nucleotide ribosomal RNA is filed under the name uncultured bacterium. RNAcentral describes it as "bacterial SSU rRNA". It matches the Rfam family "Bacterial small subunit ribosomal RNA", at positions 8 to 916 of the family's 1533-position model. The record is from RNAcentral.